CGCACGGGUGAGUAACACGUAUCCAACCUGCCGAUAACUCGGGGAUAGCCUUUCGAAGAAAGAUUAAUACCGAUGGCAUAAUAGAACCGCAUGGUUUGAUUAUUAAAGAAUUUCGGUUAUCGAUGGGGAUGCGUUCCAUUAGGCAGUUGGUGGGGUAACGGCCCACCAAACCUUCGAUGGAUAGGGGUUCUGAGAGGAAGGUCCCCCACAUUGGAACUGAGACACGGUCCAAACUCCUACGGGAGGCAGCAUG
RNAcentral lists this ribosomal RNA (253 nucleotides) under uncultured bacterium. Its description in RNAcentral is "partial 16S ribosomal RNA". It matches the Rfam family "Bacterial small subunit ribosomal RNA", at positions 99 to 353 of the family's 1533-position model. The record is from RNAcentral.